Marmota monax (woodchuck) is the source of this 3813-nucleotide long non-coding RNA. RefSeq lists it as uncharacterized. Lineage: Eukaryota; Metazoa; Chordata; Mammalia; Rodentia; Sciuridae. The record is from RefSeq and is a predicted model, not a curated record. The transcript is spliced from 2 exons.
UCCAUUUUGCAAGCUCAACUAAGCAGUAGUUUUCUAGCACAAAUAUUAGGGGCAAUAAAAAAUUUCAUUUGAGGUUGCCAAUUUGAGUUAACAUUUUUCUAUUUUCCAUUGAUGAUUUCUCUCACCACCCCAGUUCUUGCAGAUUUUCUGGAGAUAGCAUCAUUUUAAAAAAUGUCUUUUCGUUUGAUACUGUAUAGUUUAAACUUGCUGUUUACUAAAAGGACAUAGGGGUUGGGAUCCAAGGACAAACUGAACAAUCAAUCUUCUGGUAAGGCAGUGACCAGGGCUGCUCAUAGGGUGGUCAACUCCACUAGUUUAUCCAGUACGGUCUCAGGUUUAGCACUUAGGGUCCCAGGAUUUUGAGAAACCUUUCAGACCUAGGCAAACAGGGACAGUUGGUUACCCUAGCAUAGACACAACAAUAAGCUUUCUACUGAGACUUAGUGUAAAUCGGAUUCAGUUGCCUUUAUUUUGCCUUUCCUCAAAUUUGGGAUUCCAGAGAAGAAGAAUUUCAAAGGAUUAGCUUGAGUCAGGUGUCUACUCCUAACCAAAUCCCCUCCCCUCCCCUACCAUAGCUAUGGAGGGCCCACCAUUGUGAAAUAGAGACCAGUUCCUACAGAAGAUAGGAUCUAGGCAAUGACUCCAUAGACUGUCUACUGCACCUCCAGAAGUAGCUAUGAUUACUUUGGUGCAUUUCUUUCUCAAAUGCACCAGAAAUCAACAAUCCACUAAAAUCAACCACACUUCACUACAUCCCAAUACAGUGAUUGGUUGUGACAGAAAACAACUAAAAUGUCACAGGCAUCCAUUAAGCAAUAUUUCAUGGAACUGAUACAUACAUACAUACAUACAUAAACAUAUAUAUACAGAUAGUUUUAUUGGAGGAACCCUGUAAUGUAAAGUUCCAUUUCAUCCAUUUACAGACAAGGAAGCUAAAAUUUUAAAGGUAGGAAUUGAAUCAAUAUUUUAUGGCUCUAGACAAGUUGUUAAGUCCCUAAUCCCCUUUCUUUCUUUUCCUCCCUUCUUUCUCUCACCUACUCUAAGUCUCUUACUAUAUAUGGUCAUACUGUGAUACAGUCUCAUAGACAUUGUCUUGUAUAUAUUUUUAUUGCCUUGAACCCAAUUGUGUGCUGUUAAUAUUUAAGAUUUUCCAUAUAAAGCUCAGAGAGAAUAAAUGAGGAGGCUAAGUUGCACAUUCGGUAUGGAGAAGUCUUUGAUGCUGCAGAUUAAAUCCAGAUAUUCUAAUUCUAUAUCUUAUUCUCCUAUCAUAUCAUCCAUCAGACUUUUGAAUGCUCCUUAAAUUUGCUGAUUAACACAGAAAGAGGAAAUUUGACCCUGUUUUUACAUUGGCAAUAACGGUGAUAGAGUUUCUUCUCUGGACAAAGCAUCUGGUUGCUAAAAUCCCCAAAUCCCUCAGGACUCAUUUCAACCAAAUUAUCAACAACAAACACUGAACUUCAAGGUCUUUUCCACAAUGCCCACAAAAUGCCAUGGAUCCAUCUAAUCUGCAUCAAGAUACUUCAGGGAACUCUCUGUGACUCAAUCCUGACCCGAAUGGCCCCCUAAUCUAGGCCAGAUGGCAAAUUGACCAUUAACCUCAUUCUGAUGGACUUGUUUUUGCCCAAAAUGAGCUGUUAUAAUUAAUUAUCUGCUAUCUGGCAUUUUAUCAACAAAUACCAUCCAUUAGCUAACAUUUUCACUGCAAGAUCAAUGAUAAUUAAUUAUCACAGUGAUAACCUGUGGCACUAAAAGAUUUUGAAAUCACUUCAAAAUGCAGAGUGAGAGAAAGAGAACAAGAGACAUCCAGAGAGAUCAAAUCAUGCUCAGCACAGUUGUAAUGUGAGGGUAGGAAGCAUGGCUUCUGUAGUGUCCUCAAAACCCCCACCCCACUCAUAGAAAUGCCCCAGAUGACUUCUAAUGGGGCUCUCAUGUAAUAUCUGGAAAAUUACAUAUUUUAGAACUAGCAGAAUCUUUUCAAGCAUGUGUCCAUCUUCACCCUACAGUCAGUGCCCCAUCAGGCAUUGAUCGGGAGAGAGGUGGAGCAAAUACACCUAACCCUGGCAGGGACAACACAGCAGCCACCACCAUGAUAUUUAGUAACCUUCACAUUCAAAGGAAAUGAGAGUUUAAAAAUAAAAUAUAAAAAAGGGGGGCAGGGGAUGAAGCACCCCUGGGUUCCAUUUCCAGUACCAAAAUAAACAGGAUGAAAUAAUAAUAGGAAAUGACCUCCCUUUCCUUGAUUCUAUAACUUUUUAGAAAGAUAAAAAUAUUUUCUGAAAUAUGUCCUGGCAAUAUUUUAAUUUAAAAAGAAAUGAAAACAAAAUAAAACAAACCCAACAUAAAACUCUUCUUCCAGAUUUUCAUUUUUAUUGCUUAAAAAUUGUUAAUUUCAGUAACAAGGUUAGUGUUCCAUCUGGUACAUGGUAGAAAUUCAAGGCAUUUUUUUCUAUGUGUUUGUUUGAGAAGACAAAGUGAGAAAAGAUCGUUACAUACAGCCAAUUUUUUUUUUUUUUUAAGUGCCUGGAUGAGUGCCUUUCCAAUUUGAAAACUUUCUCUUUUUCUGGAUUUGGGUCUGCUGUUGGAACUCUGCACAGCCUGCCUCAUUGCUGACAGACCCUGUGCUACAAUGUGCACAGCUGGCCCUUGGGACCACAGCAAUGGAACCAUUUAUGAAACUCUCUCCCAAUUUGGUGCAUCAAAUGGGUAUACUGAUUUGGACAAGUUACAUUCUUAAAGCUGAUGAGAUGGCUGUUAACAAAGCAAAUUCAGUGCGAGCAGUGAGCCUUGGGGUGUUGGCAGUAGAUGCUAAGAGAUACUACUACAUGCCAAGCUGGUAUCCAUAGGAACAGCUCAUGCCCCAGAAGAUUGUGAUAGGUACUACCAGGGUUAACUAGGCACUCUUUGAAAAGCUCACUGGACAAAAUGUAAUCAUGUGCUUGAUUUCUUUCAAGCCAGCUUCUAAGGAGUCAAGAAGAUACAUUCCCAGUGUAGAGUCCAAAUAAAAGAAAAGGAAAGCCAAAAACUAUGAUGGAGGGAAAUGAACAGACUGGUCAAAAGCAAAUGUACAAGGAAAGAAAAUAAACAGAAAGGAAGAAGGGACACAUGUUAGACAAUGACCUGAGCUCAGGAUCUUCCCCAGUGAUACAAAAGCAUUUGGGGAGUUUCCACUGCAAGGGGCUUCAACACCAGCUUGGAGCAACCCCCUCUGUCUCUAGUGCAAAGCAGGCAUCAAAGACAGCUCCCCACACAAGAGGAAACUGAGUUGCCUCCAUUUUGAUCACCAGCACCAUGCAGUAGACCUGAGACAUAAUUAUCUAUAAACAGAUUGGCUCAGGGUGUGGAAGUGGUUUUUCAGACCUAAUCUCUGAGGACUAAAGGCCUAGUAGUAGCUACAAGCUUUGUAGAAUUUGGGGUCUCCAAAGGCUAAGAGGAAAUGCUGGAUGAGCAACUCUCAUUGUCAACUUUAAUGAGAACUUGGGAACCAAUUUUUGUAUCGUUUGUUUUUAAACUGUAAUGAUAGCCAAAUUUGGAUGUUGUAAGACUCAUUUGCUGAUAAAUCUAACCAGAUGAACUCAACUAACUGUAAGAAUAAGUUCUGCUUUACUUUUUUGUUGGUGUGAUUCUAAAUAAAGCAAAAUGGGGGUUUUGUACCUUCGAAAUGUGCAUGUGUGCACAAGUCAGUGUGCCACAUGUCAUUCAACAUGUUAACUCUGUACAUAGUCACAAUUCUCCAAAUGUUUUUGUUCUUCAAACCUGUCUUCUAAAACACAUACAAACAAGAAAAUACUCUUAAAUAAAAUCAACAUUAUUUUA